Acanthosepion pharaonis is the source of this 97-nucleotide non-coding RNA. The record is from the annotation of a GenBank genome assembly. NCBI's taxonomy places the organism in Eukaryota, Metazoa, Mollusca, Cephalopoda, Sepiida, Sepiidae.
GAGUGGAACUUACUCCUUACCGUACGAUCACCGAAGUUAAGCAACAUCGAACCUGGUCGGUACUUAAAUGGGUGACCGCUUGGGAAUACCUGGUAUU